This 666-nucleotide ribosomal RNA is filed under the name Diphycerus sp. BMNH 677855. RNAcentral describes it as "eukaryotic LSU rRNA". It matches the Rfam family "Eukaryotic large subunit ribosomal RNA", at positions 644 to 1266 of the family's 3401-position model. Lineage: Eukaryota; Metazoa; Arthropoda; Insecta; Coleoptera; Scarabaeidae. RNAcentral also lists the same sequence under 1 other name. The record is from RNAcentral.
GGGACCCGUCUUGAAACACGGACCAAGGAGUCUAGCAUGUGCGCGAGUCAUUGGGACUCUAUACUAAACCUAAAGGCGUAAUGAAAGUGAAGGUCCGUCUUGCGCGGACCGAGGGAGGAUGGGCGGUCCCGAGGGACCGCCCCGCACUCCCGGGGCGUCUCGUUCUCAUCGCGAGAAGAGGCGCACCCAGAGCGUACACGCUGGGACCCGAAAGAUGGUGAACUAUGCCUGGUCAGGACGAAGUCAGGGGAAACCCUGAUGGAGGUCCGUAGCGAUUCUGACGUGCAAAUCGAUCGUCGGAACUGGGUAUAGGGGCGAAAGACUAAUCGAACCAUCUAGUAGCUGGUUCCCUCCGAAGUUUCCCUCAGGAUAGCUGGCGCUCGCUUCUCGCGAGUCUCAUUCGGUAAAGCGAAUGAUUAGAGGCAUUGGGGUCGAAACGGCCUCAACCUAUUCUCAAACUUUAAAUGGGUGAGAUCUCCGGCUUGCUUGAACUGUGAAGCCGCGAGAUAUCGGAUCAGAGUGCCAAGUGGGCCACUUUUGGUAAGCAGAACUGGCGCUGUGGGAUGAACCAAACGCCGAGUUAAAGCGCCUAAAUCGACGCUUAUGGGAUACCAUGAAAGGCGUUGGUAACUUAAGACAGCAGGACGGUGGCCAUGGAAGUCGGAA